Molecule: ribosomal RNA, 253 nt
Filed under: uncultured bacterium
Lineage: Bacteria
Description: partial 16S ribosomal RNA
Rfam family: Bacterial small subunit ribosomal RNA
Source: RNAcentral
UACGAAGGGGGCUAGCGUUGCUCGGAUUGACUGGGCGUAAAGGGCGCGUAGGCGGUUCGUACAGUCAGACGUGAAAUUCCUGGGCUCAACCUGGGGACUGCGCUUGAUACGGCUGUGCUAGAGGAUGGAAGAGGCUCGCGGAAUUCCCAGUGUAGAGGUGAAAUUCGUAGAUAUUGGGAAGAACACCGGUGGCGAAGGCGGCGAGCUGGUCCAUUACUGACGCUGAGGCGCGACAGCGUGGGGAGCAAACAGG